UGGAGAGGAAGGCUACAUGCUGCUAGUUCCAGGUGAGAAUCAGCCAAAGUCUUGGAGCGUCUGGAGUUGCUGGGCACAAUGCAGGUUGGGGAACCUGGAGGCAGCAGAGAUCCCUGGACUGCAGCAAUGGGAGCCAUGGGUCCUUGAAAAUUGAGGGAGGAAUAAGGGCUACUGGAGCAAGCUUCACUAUCAUGGCUGUCACCCCACCAUCUCCUGGGACCCCAAGCCUUUGUUAUGCUCAUCCUGAGAGAAGUCCAGACCAGAGAGAGGGACCCAGAUGACACUGCUGCCUCUACUGACUAGAUCUGAAUCCCAAACACCACCCAGGAUUAAACAGGAUUGGACUUUAAUAACAGUAGCAGCUCCAGGUUGUUCUAGUCUCGGGGCCAAAUUGAUGGUGUUGGAGAGUGGAGUCUGCUGCUUGGGUACAACAUGGGCAGCUGCAAAGCAAGCUUACUCUGAACAGUCUGCUAGUGCAUCUCAAACCCUGCUCUGGAGGAACCAAAAUCCUAUUCUCAGGAGAUUUCAGCUCUAAUAUCGAACUACAAGGCGUCUGCAAGGUUUCCUGGACUCCUGGGAUGCAGAUGGAACUAAAGAUCCCAAAUAUCCGCGGGUGGUUCUUCAUUAACAGUUCCAUCACCUCUUCCAAGAACUACUUCAAAUGCUGUUUCCUACCCAGCCAUCUAAGAGUUCAAAAGGGAAGGAGCCAGUCUCUCCAUGAAAAAAGUGUAAAAGGAACUAAAGUUUUAAAUUGCAAUUAAAUCAACUGGUUAGCUUGAUAACCAAUUACUGUAAGGUGUGACUCUGGCAGUUUGGGAACCCAUUUAUUAUCAUUCACAUUUAAAUAGCACUUCUGUAAUGGUAAAGGUCUGUGCAAAUGUUAAUUAUCCUCCUGGUGAAGGAAGGUCACUAUUAGCAGCCCCAUUUCACAGAUGGGGAACUAAGGCAUGGGGAAGUGAAGUGACUUGCAAGUUUCCUUCCUGCUGAUGUAAGACUGGGUUAACAAUCCUAUAAAGAAUCAGAAUAUCUUAUAAACACAAGUUUUUUUUUUUUACAAUCAUUAAGCCACUGUUACAAGCCAUUGCCUCCAAUUUCAUACUGACAAAGUAGCAUCUGAACUGACAGUAUCACAGGUAAUUGGGUAAUAAGAUCCUAAUUUAAGAGUGCUUCAGAUCAUGGGAUUUGAUUGGGCUCAUCAUAGAAACAGGAGCUGUAAUGUAGCCAGCCUUCUGUACUAUAACUUCUGAGUCUGAAUCAUACCUCAGUGAAAGCCUGUGUGAUGAUUCAAGAAAAGAAAUGAAUCAAAAACUCAAAGUUUUGAACAUUUCAACCAAGUCUAGCGUUAGUGUAAGAGCUAGAGAUCCAGGGAGAACCACUGGGCCUGUCUGAGUCCAUAAACCUCAGUAAAGAAUCCCCAUUAUAUUCAUUAGAAACUAAUCCUGUCUCUUCUAUCAUGAGGGACACUACAGGGCCGAGUAGCGAAGUUCCCAGGAUUUUGAUUUGGGCCCCCACAGUAGUAUAUA
Mauremys reevesii (Reeves's turtle) is the source of this 1523-nucleotide long non-coding RNA. RefSeq lists it as uncharacterized. The record is from RefSeq and is a predicted model, not a curated record. Lineage: Eukaryota; Metazoa; Chordata; Testudines; Geoemydidae. The transcript is spliced from 4 exons.